Molecule: non-coding RNA, 222 nt
Organism: Pelobates cultripes (western spadefoot toad)
Lineage: Eukaryota; Metazoa; Chordata; Amphibia; Anura; Pelobatidae
Source: the annotation of a GenBank genome assembly
UGAAUAAACGUCUGUGAGAUUGUAUUUGCUUUCAUAAGGGGCCGGCAAAAUGGAUCUUUCCCUAGGGUGGCAGGAAUCUUUGCUCCGGCCCUGGUGGCAAAUAUGCCUAUGCCACGAGCUCCUGGAGGAGCCUGCUAGCUAGCCUCCUGCCCAAGGACUUUGGGCAAUGUAACCGACUAAUCUGUCCCUUAAAAUACUCUGUUCGUACGUUCUCCCUUCUUC